This 714-nucleotide ribosomal RNA is filed under the name Vanderwaltozyma tropicalis. RNAcentral's name for it is "eukaryotic LSU rRNA". The stretch from base 292 to 445 matches the Rfam family "5.8S ribosomal RNA". The record is from RNAcentral. Lineage: Eukaryota; Fungi; Ascomycota; Saccharomycetes; Saccharomycetales; Saccharomycetaceae.
CUAUGAACUGAUUGAGAGGGAAGAACAUGAGAGCCACAUUAAGGAAGACUAGAGCUUAGCGGCCUGCGCUUAAUUGCGCGGCUUCUGGGAGCUGGUGUUCUGUGGAGCUACUUUUGUGUUUUUCAACAAUCUCUUUUCAACACUUCUACACACUGUGGAGUUUUUUUACUUUACAUUUCUUAUUCUUUGGGAGAGUGAGCAAUCGCUUUCCCAGAGAUGACAAACACAAACAAUUUUGCAUAUUAUAAUAACUAGUCAAAACCAAUUUCGUUAUGAAAUACAAAUAUUUAAAACUUUCAACAACGGAUCUCUUGGUUCUCGCAUCGAUGAAGAACGCAGCGAAAUGCGAUACGUAAUGUGAAUUGCAGAAUUCCGUGAAUCAUCGAAUCUUUGAACGCACAUUGCGCCCUCUGGUAUUCCAGGGGGCAUGCCUGUUUGAGCGUCAUUUCCUUCUCAAAUACUUGUAUUUGGUUGUGAGUGAUACUCUUUACGGUGUUAACUUGAAAUUGCAAGCCUGUUUUGGCUGUGUAUGCUGGCUUGGAUGGAGCGAUCUAUUCAGUCUGCUAAUACCAAAAUGUCGUAUUAGGUUUUACCAACUCGGCAGUUCGUGUGUUAGUAGGUGUUAUUACGAUAGAUGAGCUAGUCUUGUGCUGCUACGCGGUCCGGCGAACAAUACUCUCAAAGUUUGACCUCAAAUCAGGUAGGAUUACCCGC